RNAcentral lists this ribosomal RNA (373 nucleotides) under uncultured organism. RNAcentral's name for it is "partial 16S ribosomal RNA". It matches the Rfam family "Bacterial small subunit ribosomal RNA", at positions 527 to 896 of the family's 1533-position model. The record is from RNAcentral.
GUAGGUGGCAAGCGUUGUCCGGAAUUAUUGGGCGUAAAGCGCGCGCAGGCGGUUCUUUAAGUCUGAUGUGAAAGCCCACGGCUCAACCGUGGAGGGUCAUUGGAAACUGGAGAACUUGAGUACAGAAGAGGAAAGCGGAAUUCCACGUGUAGCGGUGAAAUGCGUAGAGAUGUGGAGGAACACCAGUGACGAAGGCGGCUUUCUGGUCUGUAACUGACGCUGAGGCGCGAAGGCGUGGGGAGCAAACAGGGAUUAGAUACCCUGGUAGUCCACGCCGUAAACGAUGAGUGCUAAGUGUUAGGGGGUUUCCGCCCCCUUAGUGCUGCAGCUAACGCAUUAAGCACUCCGCCUGGGGAGUACGGCCGCAAGGCUG